Long non-coding RNA from Spinacia oleracea (spinach), 732 nucleotides. RefSeq lists it as uncharacterized. NCBI's taxonomy places the organism in Eukaryota, Viridiplantae, Streptophyta, Magnoliopsida, Caryophyllales, Amaranthaceae. The record is from RefSeq and is a predicted model, not a curated record. The transcript is spliced from 3 exons.
UAUCAUUUCCAUGCGGACUGAUUCAAACUAACUAAAGAUAAGGGUUAUCACUUCCUAAAUCUCACGCUAAAUAAUAGCAGCUCAUCCCAAAUUGUAUUUCACUCUUCAUCAAACUCUUGGGUUGCACUACUUAUAAAUACACCCUCUAUUGCUAACCUACAAGCUUUGCAACCCUAAAUACUUAUUCAGAAACCAUUGGAGAUCACCGUACAAAGAAAUCAAACUCAAUAGUCGAUCGCCGAAACAACUCCAACCAACCUUCGGCACAUCCGAAUCACCAUCAAAUUGUACCGGAAUCCACCGCGAAAAACACCAGCUCCUAGUCCUCACGACCCUCUUCGUAACCGAACUUUCAUCUCUAAGAACCGUCGAUAAUUAAAGAGUCCGUAGAGCGGGAAGAUAUCUACUAGUGUUCAUGUGUUUGAUUUGUGAAGCUAAGCUUAAUAAGGUAUGCAUGGCACGUCCUGAGCGACCGUUUCCCAACGACUAGUAGCAAGUUAUUAAUAACGUAGAUCACCUAAAGACAAUCAGUUGUGUUUUAUUCAAUUCAGUUUAUAACAAUAUUUUGGGUAGUUGGUUUAAGUUAUUUAAUUACGACAAUAUUGGUUUAUUUAUAAAGGUUGGAUUAUUGAUGGAUAAAAUAGCCUUACAUUUGGGUUGUAGCCUAAAUGUGGCGGUAAUACCCUUAAUUUAUUGUUUUAUGCUUCCGCUAUAAUUCCUAAUCAGGUAUGG